This 21-nucleotide non-coding RNA is filed under the name Alligator mississippiensis (American alligator). Its record names the gene ami-miR-34c-3p. RNAcentral also lists the same sequence under 1 other name. The record is from miRBase by way of RNAcentral. Lineage: Eukaryota; Metazoa; Chordata; Crocodylia; Alligatoridae.
AAUCACUAACCACACAGCCAG